Molecule: small RNA, 1065 nt
Filed under: Histoplasma ohiense
Lineage: Eukaryota; Fungi; Ascomycota; Eurotiomycetes; Onygenales; Ajellomycetaceae
Description: hypothetical lncRNA
Source: RNAcentral
CACUGCUAAGCUAUCGCCGCUGCCAACCUAUCUAUUGCUGCAAGCUAUCCCUCACUGCUAAGCUAUCGCUGCCAACCUAUCUAUCACUGCCAACCUAUCUAUCGCUGCCAAUUUAUCUACCACUGCCAAUCUAUCUAUUGCUGCUAAUCUAUCGCUGCUGUCAAUCUAUCUAUCGCUGCUAAUCUAUCUAUCGCUGCUAAUCUAUCGCUGCUGCCAAUCUAUCCCUCACUGCUAAGCUAUCCCUCGCUGCUAAGCUAUCACUGCCAAUCUAUCGCUGCUAAUCUAUCGCUGUCAAUUUAUCUACCACUGCCAAUCUAUCUAUCGCUGCCAGUCUAUUGCUGCUAAUCUAUCGCUGCUAAUCUAUCGCUGCUGCCAAUCUAUCUAUCGCUGCCAAUCUAUCGCCGCUGCCAAUCUAUCCCUCACUGCUAAGCUAUCUCUCGCUGCUAAGCUAUCCCUCGCUGCUAAGCUAUCCCUCACUACUAAGCUAUCUAUCACUGCUAAUCUAUCGCUGCCAACCUAUCUAUCACUGCCAAUCUAUCUAUCGCUGCUAAUCUAUCGCUGCUAAUCUAUCGCUGCUAAUCUAUCGCUGCCAACCUAUCUAUCGCUGCCAAUUUAUCUACCACUGCCAAUCUAUCUAUUGCUGCUAAUCUAUUGCUGCUGUCAAUCUAUCUAUCACUGCUAAUCUAUUGCUGCUAAUCUAUCACUGCUAAUCUAUCGCUGCUAAUCUAUCGCUGCUAAUCUAUCGCUGCCAACCUAUCUACCGCGGCGAAUCUAUCUAUCACUAUCAUUACUAGUUCAAAAUAGAACUAGAGCAUAAAUACACUAAACUUCUUUUGAUAGGUAAUGAUUUUUGGUAACGCUCAUAGCAUUAUAUCAUCUAUAUAGGGUAAAUCAUGGUCCCAUUUGGUCCCAUUUUAACAAAAUGGGACCAAAUGAGACCAGAAUCAGUAAUUUAUAAGAAGAACAUGAUCUGGGACUAGAUUUAUAAUAUAAACAGUGUAAAGUGACUAAUUUAAUAAACACUAUAUGGAACCAGAACUAAGAAAUUUGAUAAUGGAACUGGAG